Molecule: ribosomal RNA, 253 nt
Filed under: uncultured bacterium
Lineage: Bacteria
Description: partial 16S ribosomal RNA
Rfam family: Bacterial small subunit ribosomal RNA
Source: RNAcentral
UACGUAGGGGGCUAGCGUUGUCCGGAAUCAUUGGGCGUAAAGAGCUCGUAGGCGGUUUGUCGCGUCUGCUGUGAAAACCUAAGGCUCAACCUUGGGCUUGCAGUGGGUACGGGCAGACUAGAGUGCGGUAGGGGUGACUGGAAUUCCUGGUGUAGCGGUGGAAUGCGCAGAUAUCAGGAGGAACACCGAUGGCGAAGGCAGGUCACUGGGCCGCAACUGACGCUGAGGAGCGAAAGCAUGGGGAGCGAACAGG